Molecule: ribosomal RNA, 445 nt
Filed under: uncultured bacterium
Lineage: Bacteria
Description: partial 16S ribosomal RNA
Rfam family: Bacterial small subunit ribosomal RNA
Source: RNAcentral
GUGAGGAAUAUUGGUCAAUGGGCGGGAGCCUGAACCAGCCAAGUCGCGUGAAGGAAGAAGGAUCUAUGGUUCGUAAACUUCUUUUGCAGGGGAAUAAAGUGCAGGACGUGUCCUGUUUUGUAUGUACCCUGAGAAUAAGGAUCGGCUAACUCCGUGCCAGCAGCCGCGGUAAUACGGAGGAUCUGAGCGUUAUCCGGAUUUAUUGGGUUUAAAGGGUGCGUAGGUGGUUUGAUAAGUCAGCGGUGAAAGUUUGCAGCUUAACUGUAAAAAUGCCUUUGAUACUGUCGGACUUGAGUGUAAAUGAGGUAGACGGAAUGCGUGGUGUAGCGGUGAAAUGCAUAGAUAUCACGCAGAACUCCGAUGGCGAAGGCAGCUUACUAAGCUACAACUGACACUGAAGCACGAAAGCGUGGGGAUCAAACAGGAUUAGAUACCCUAGUAGUCC